UGCCUACCUGGAGUUGACUCAUCUCCGGUUAUCGUCCAGACUACCUUCAAGAAUGCUUAAAGCAACUAUCAAAUUGAAUAUGAACAAUUUGUUCAUUGGGUUGAACCUCCUUCAUUUUAAUGGAUGGAAGCUUCGUUCUGAAGCACUCGAGCUCCCAUGAGAAUCUUACAACAGGGAUUUCACUUGAAGAUCAAAUAUACUAAACGCUCAUACAGACGUUACAAAGGGUGGAGCUGUUCUACAAAUGUCUCACUUUUUGCAGCGGUUGGUCAUGACGGAGAUGGUUAAAUCAUGGAUGUCCAAUGGGCCCAAGUUAUUAUCAUCUUCCCCCACUGCAUCAGUUGCCCUGCGAACAGUCACAAAAGCCCGUCGAGUUUGUGACAACGCAUCAAAUUGGGCACGCUCAUUUCAGAUCGAUCAGCGAUCUAGAACAUGCUACAAGUACAGUGGAUGUAGUUGAAGUACAUGCGUUUUUUAUGAAGCUGAGAAAUAGCCUGGAAAUUAUUGAUCUCUUCGUUUACUCCAUUCAGAGGCAUACUUCCUGCUCUUCUACAAUCUACGGCAAAAUUUCCAGAUAGAGCACAUCAAUGUCGCACGAAUUCGCCAUGGCAGAAUAUUGAUCUGCAACGGGGAAGUUGCAGUGUAGAAUGACCUAAAUCAAAGAGAGGAUCCGUCUUACUCUUACAUCCUCGCAUCAAAAAUUUAUGAGUAGGAACAGGACGGCAGCGUUGAAAAUUAUUGAGUGUCUAAGGCUCUUAGAUCCGUUCUAACCAACUUUUUAGUGGCUAUCAGGCGAGUUCGACGUUUGAUGGAAACGACAAUGAGGUGAAGGAGAGAGAACGUGCCGAGCAUAUGGCCAUGAGUGAAUGUCUGUUUCUGGUUUGGAUCACCCUCGACGCCAUAAUCUCCUCACUUGAUUGAACUCCCCAAAAUUUUGUAUGAAGCUGUACAGAAAAAAGAACCCAUUCAACAAGGAGUUCUUUUUGGGACCCCCAGCUCUUAGGAUUUGUUUUACAUAUUGCGAGCUCGCGUCACUGGAUGAAGAACGACAUCAAGAACCCCAAACUCAAGAAUCCUUGAAUCUGCAUGUCAGAAGCUCUUAACCUAUAUUCCUUCAUCACUAUCGAGAAACUAGUAGAGACUCAUCUCCAUCACCAAGUUAUAUUGCAACCUUCAUCAGAAGCCCAACCCACUGAAGUAACCACUCUAGAACAUAGAAUGUCAAAACUAUAAAAGCAACAACCUGCAACCUAUAUACAUUCUGGAGGUAAAUACUUGUGUCAGAAACGGGACUAUGGAAUUGAAAUUUGUCCUAAGAAAUCACGAAGUCCGUCACAAACAACUUGCAGCCUAUCCUUCGCAUCCAUAUACGCAGUGCAAAAUGCAUAUAUUAGGACUUAAGGAUGCAGAUGCAAGAGUUUUCUUCUCGUCCGUGAUAUUCUAUCCAGUUCAAGGCAUGGGCUCUGCGAUCAAACUUGCUGGGAUAACUACGAGCGAGGUACUCCGUUUCGUUAUUUUAAGGGAAAGGGAUAUGACAGUGGCCUCUGAUAUGAAGACUUGAUGCAAACAACAGCAAUGCUAACAAUCAAGCAUUAACAGUAAAAAACACUCCUCGAGGCCCCCUCUUCAACAAAUGCAACUAUGGUGGAGACAAGUAACGAAGAACGGAACUGCAUGCUUCCACACUCAGAUCGAAGCUGUUGAUGCUGCACCCCUGGACCUCAUUGCUUGAUAAUGGUUAGUCGUUUCUUUGGGAACUCUUAGCAUUCACACCCGAUUUGCUUCCUCCCUUUGAACGAGAAUGAAACACGCAUCCGCUGCGGAUGGACGUUCAACUCAUUCAUUUCGCAAGUGUUGAUCACGAUUUUGGGCAAGAUUUGCGUAUGAUUUGUCCGAGUUAACGUCAUAUGUCUGAAUUCAUGGCUGGUCAUCAUGGUUGCCUCGCGCUUUUCUCAACUCAUUGCGGGUCCUCUUCUGCCACCACUACAGUCAGCCGGCUAUUCUCGUCUCCACUCGCCCCUGUAGUUCCUUGUAUUCCCUAUACGACUCCUCCUCGUGCCACCCUUGUAUAUGCCCUUGCCUGGACC
This 2087-nucleotide long non-coding RNA is filed under the name Physcomitrium patens. Its description in RNAcentral is "long non-coding RNA (PPAT_LNC003113)". The record is from RNAcentral. Lineage: Eukaryota; Viridiplantae; Streptophyta; Bryopsida; Funariales; Funariaceae.